RNAcentral lists this ribosomal RNA (177 nucleotides) under uncultured bacterium. RNAcentral's name for it is "partial 16S ribosomal RNA". It matches the Rfam family "Bacterial small subunit ribosomal RNA", at positions 1324 to 1500 of the family's 1533-position model. The record is from RNAcentral.
AGCCGGAAUCGCUAGUAAUCGCGGAUCAGAAUGCCGCGGUGAAUACGUUCCCGGGUCUUGUACACACCGCCCGUCACACCAUGGGAGUCGGAAAUGCCCGAAGUCUGUGACCCAACCGUAAGGAGGGAGCAGCCGAAGGCAGGUCGGAUGACUGGGGUGAAGUCGUAACAAGGUAAC